AUCCAUAUGAAGAGUCCAAAACAGGACGAAACGCACGUUCUGGAU
RNAcentral lists this non-coding RNA (45 nucleotides) under Schistosoma margrebowiei. Lineage: Eukaryota; Metazoa; Platyhelminthes; Trematoda; Strigeidida; Schistosomatidae. The record is from RNAcentral.